This 420-nucleotide ribosomal RNA is filed under the name uncultured soil bacterium. Its description in RNAcentral is "bacterial SSU rRNA". It matches the Rfam family "Bacterial small subunit ribosomal RNA", at positions 26 to 437 of the family's 1533-position model. The record is from RNAcentral.
AGGACGAACGCUGGCUGCGUGCUUAACACAUGCAAGUCGAGCGGUAAGGCCUUUCGGGGUACACGAGCGGCGAACGGGUGAGUAACACGUGGGUGAUCUGCCCUGCACUCUGGGAUAAGCCUGGGAAACUGGGUCUAAUACCGGAUAUGACCUGCUCUCGCAUGGGGGGUGGGGUGGAAAAGAUUUAUCGGUGCAGGAUGGGCCCGCGGCCUAUCAGCUUGUUGGUGGGGUAAAUGGCCUACCAAGGGCGACGACGGGGUAGCCGACCUGAGAGGGUGACCGGCCACACUGGGACUGAGACACGGCCCAGACUCCUACGGGAGGCAGCAGUGGGGAAAUAUUGCACAAAUGGGGCGAAAAGCCUGAUGCAGGCGACGCCGCGUGAGGGGAUGAAAGGCCUUCGGGUCGUAAACCUACUUC